RNAcentral lists this microRNA precursor (57 nucleotides) under Haplochromis burtoni (Burton's mouthbrooder). RNAcentral's name for it is "microRNA abu-mir-10547 precursor". Lineage: Eukaryota; Metazoa; Chordata; Actinopteri; Cichliformes; Cichlidae. The record is from miRBase by way of RNAcentral.
UCGGCUUUCUCACAAGACGGCGUGUACACGACAAGCCGUCGGGGGUGAAAGACGACA